RNAcentral lists this ribosomal RNA (26 nucleotides) under Boesenbergia sp. NFL-2003-4. Its description in RNAcentral is "partial 26S ribosomal RNA". The record is from RNAcentral. Lineage: Eukaryota; Viridiplantae; Streptophyta; Magnoliopsida; Zingiberales; Zingiberaceae.
GGGCCCCAAGUCAGGCGAGGCCACCC